This is a non-coding RNA of Phthorimaea operculella (potato tuberworm), 72 nucleotides long. Lineage: Eukaryota; Metazoa; Arthropoda; Insecta; Lepidoptera; Gelechiidae. The record is from the annotation of a GenBank genome assembly.
GCACCCGUAGCUCAGUUGGCAGAGCAGUGGGACGGUACCCCAUGGUUCUGGGUUCAAAUCCCAGUGGUUGCU